GCCUGUUGGCCUUCCUAUAACAGGUACAUCCUGCCCAGUGAUCUCUUCAACGGCCGCGGUAUUCUGACCGUGCAAAGGUAGCAUAAUCAUUUGCCUCUUAAUUAGAGGCUAGUAUGAAUGGACAAACGUAAACCUAGCUGUCUCAAUUAUAUACAUAAAAACUAACCUUUAGGUGAAGAGGCCUAAAUCCAUUUAAAAGACAAGAAGACCCUGUCGAGCUUUAUCCCCUAUAAGAAAUCAUUCCACCUUAACCCUUCUUCAGGGAUUUUGUUGGGGCGACAAAGGAACAACCAAAACUUCCUCUCUAUAUUAGACCCCUCGUCUCUUUCAACGACCCAUAACUUUUGAUCCUAGACACUAGCUACCGCAGGGAUAACAGACUAAUUUUCCUCAAGAGCCCAAAUCUACAGGAAAGUUUGGCACCUCGAUGUUGGCUUAGGGACUCUACUAAAUGCAGCAGUUUAAUAAGAGGGUUUGUUCAACCCUUAAAUC
This 492-nucleotide ribosomal RNA is filed under the name Australonuphis parateres. RNAcentral describes it as "partial 16S ribosomal RNA". It matches the Rfam family "Bacterial large subunit ribosomal RNA", at positions 1830 to 2594 of the family's 2925-position model. Lineage: Eukaryota; Metazoa; Annelida; Polychaeta; Eunicida; Onuphidae. The record is from RNAcentral.